RNAcentral lists this ribosomal RNA (405 nucleotides) under Pseudomonas sp. Its description in RNAcentral is "bacterial SSU rRNA". It matches the Rfam family "Bacterial small subunit ribosomal RNA", at positions 89 to 490 of the family's 1533-position model. Lineage: Bacteria; Pseudomonadati; Pseudomonadota; Gammaproteobacteria; Pseudomonadales; Pseudomonadaceae. The record is from RNAcentral.
GAUUCAGCGGCGGACGGGUGAGUAAUACCUAGGAAUCUGCCUGGUAGUGGGGGACAACGUUUCGAAAGGAACGCUAAUACCGCAUACGUCCUACGGGAGAAAGCAGGGGACCUUCGGGCCUUGCGCUAUCAGAUGAGCCUAGGUCGGAUUAGCUAGUUGGUGAGGUAAUGGCUCACCAAGGCUACGAUCCGUAACUGGUCUGAGAGGAUGAUCAGUCACACUGGAACUGAGACACGGUCCAGACUCCUACGGGAGGCAGCAGUGGGGAAUAUUGGACAAUGGGCGAAAGCCUGAUCCAGCCAUGCCGCGUGUGUGAAGAAGGUCUUCGGAUUGUAAAGCACUUUAAGUUGGGAGGAAGGGCAGUAAGCGAAUACCUUGCUGUUUUGACGUUACCGACAGAAUAAG